GCGCGUAGCUCAGCUGGUUAGAGCACUACCUUGACAUGGUAGGGGUCGUUGGUUCGAGUCCAAUCGCGCCUACCA
RNAcentral lists this transfer RNA (75 nucleotides) under Betaproteobacteria bacterium RIFCSPLOWO2_02_FULL_68_150. Its description in RNAcentral is "tRNA-Val". It matches the Rfam family "tRNA". Rfam says of the family: Transfer RNA (tRNA) molecules are approximately 80 nucleotides in length. Lineage: Bacteria; Pseudomonadati; Pseudomonadota; Betaproteobacteria. The record is from RNAcentral.